AUGAAAAAACUAAAAGCACUCGGUCAGGAGUUUUUUGGCCAUGCUGGAUUCCCUUUUUUGGAAACAUUGCUACUAGAACGCCUACCCAAAUUGGAGUGGUGCCUUGUGGACAAUGACAAAGUCUUGCAGAAUCUCAGACAUCUCUCUGUAGCUGGUUGUCCACGGCUAAGAGCAUAUCCCACCCAUGCUCGUACACUCAGACAUAUAGCUAUACUUGACAAGGAAACAAUCAAAGUUAAGUUACGGUGGGAUAGUCUUGAUCUGUCAAAAUCAUUUUGUCGCCUUGUAUCAAGUUCCUUCCAUGUCUUGCAUGCUCAUCACCUAGAGUUUGUACAAGAUAUGGGGAUCUAUGUGGAGCGUUUGGUAGACACGUCCAUCACCGUGUUUAACAAUCUGAAAUCACUUAAACAGUUGCAAAUAUGUGGCAACAACCUGGCAGAAAGCUUCUCCGUAAUUGCUACAUUGUGGAAUGAGAAUGGGAGCACUGUACUUCCUUCAUCACUUCGAUUCCUUAAGUUAAAAGGGUGCUACCUGCAACCAUCCUCUUUCAACAAGUUACUGAAGAAUCUCUCGUCGCUUGGUGCACUACACUUAAGCGAAUGUGACACUGUUGAGAUACCGGGUGUACCGGUAAGCCUACACCACUUGACGAUGCUGAAACAGUUGGACAUUCAUACAUGUGAUUGGAUAUCAUCCAUUGAGGGAGCAGAAGCACUGUUGUCCCUUGAAGAGAUGACAAUUAAAGAAUGUUAUGCUCUGGAAUCUGUACCGUACUUAGAUGACAUGCCAUCUCUUCAAAAGCUACAUUUAUCCAAGUGCCCUCAAGUUAUGCGACUGUCUAAAGCAGGCCACCAGACAGCCCUGAAGGAGCUGAUUGUAAAAUUUUGUGAUAGGCUAUCAUCUCUGCGACAGUUGUGUGACCUUGUUUCGCUUGUGAGGCUGACGAUUAGUGGUUGUUCUAAUUUAUUGUGGCUUCCGGAUAUGGAUGGUUUUUAUUCGCUUCGGGUUCUCUCAAUUGAUCGGUGCCCCCGGCUGAUGUCACUGCCACGGAGUGGUCUUCCUGUAUCACUUGAAACAUUUUUCCUUUCUGAAUGCAAUCAAGCAUUGGAGGAGCAGUUUCAGCAAAAGGAAGGUCCAGACUGGAACAAGUUUGCUGCCCUUCCAGGAUGCAAGUGGGAACCUUGUUGGUAA
Molecule: ribosomal RNA, 1191 nt
Filed under: Triticum aestivum (bread wheat)
Lineage: Eukaryota; Viridiplantae; Streptophyta; Magnoliopsida; Poales; Poaceae
Description: partial small subunit ribosomal RNA
Source: RNAcentral